UACGGGGGGGGCAAGUGUUACUCAUCAUGACUAGGCGUAAAGGGUGGUGUGAUGGCAGGGGUUUGCUUGUGCUAAAAUUUCAAUGGAUUUAUUGGCCAUGUAUUAGAACAGCUUUGCUAGAGUGGGUUAGAGAAUAGAGUUACUGAUUUUUCAGGGGUAGAAUCCAGCGAGAAAAUUAGGAGAAACAAUGGCGAAAGCAACUAUUUAUGAUCAACUGACAUUUAGCCACGAAAGCGUGGGGAGCAAACAGG
Molecule: ribosomal RNA, 251 nt
Filed under: uncultured bacterium
Lineage: Bacteria
Description: partial 16S ribosomal RNA
Rfam family: Bacterial small subunit ribosomal RNA
Source: RNAcentral